UUCCCUCUCUCCCCUCCUUCUCGCAAAGCUUCUCCAACCCACCCAAACCUCACCCCGCCUCUUCCUCUUUCCCCUCUCUCUCCCCCACUCCCUUCCCCACUUCCUUCCCUUCUUCUUUCCCCAACUACCC
RNAcentral lists this non-coding RNA (130 nucleotides) under Paramoeba aestuarina. Lineage: Eukaryota; Discosea; Flabellinia; Dactylopodida; Paramoebidae. The record is from RNAcentral.